This 549-nucleotide ribosomal RNA is filed under the name uncultured bacterium. Its description in RNAcentral is "bacterial SSU rRNA". It matches the Rfam family "Bacterial small subunit ribosomal RNA", at positions 355 to 896 of the family's 1533-position model. The record is from RNAcentral.
UGGGGAAUACUGGACAAUGGGCGAAAGCCUGAUCCAGCCAUGCCGCGUGUGUGAAGAAGGCCUUUUGGUUGUAAAGCACUUUAAGUGGGGAGGAAAAGCUUAUGGUUAAUACCCAUAAGCCCUGACGUUACCCACAGAAUAAGCACCGGCUAACUCUGUGCCAGCAGCCGCGGUAAUACAGAGGGUGCAAGCGUUAAUCGGAAUUACUGGGCGUAAAGCGCGCGUAGGUGGUUAUUUAAGUCAGAUGUGAAAGCCCCGGGCUUAACCUGGGAACUGCAUCUGAUACUGGAUAACUAGAGUAGGUGAGAGGGGAGUAGAAUUCCAGGUGUAGCGGUGAAAUGCGUAGAGAUCUGGAGGAAUACCGAUGGCGAAGGCAGCUCCCUGGCAUCAUACUGACACUGAGGUGCGAAAGCGUGGGUAGCAAACAGGAUUAGAUACCCUGGUAGUCCACGCCGUAAACGAUGUCUACCAGUCGUUGGGUCUUUUAAAGACUUAGUGACGCAGUUAACGCAAUAAGUAGACCGCCUGGGGAAUACGGCCGCAAGGUUA